This 217-nucleotide non-coding RNA is filed under the name Thermincola sp. RNAcentral describes it as "T-box sequence". It matches the Rfam family "T-box leader". From Rfam's summary of the family: Uncharged tRNA acts as the effector for transcription antitermination of genes in the T-box leader family. The record is from RNAcentral. Lineage: Bacteria; Bacillati; Bacillota; Clostridia; Eubacteriales; Thermincolaceae.
GACAAAACAAUGAUGGGGAUAGUAGAUAUUGCGGGCUUUUCCAGAGAGCCGGGGUAGCUGGAAGCCGGUAAAGCUGCAAUAUUGAAUGCCACCCUGGAGUUGCUGUUUUGAAAAACGGAGUAAAGACAGUCGGAUUCCCAACCGUUAUCUGGGACAAAGAGUGGGCUGGGCAAGCCAACUAGGGUGGUACCGCGUGAGUGAAACUCUCGUCCCUUGG